Molecule: long non-coding RNA, 232 nt
Filed under: Elaeis guineensis (African oil palm)
Lineage: Eukaryota; Viridiplantae; Streptophyta; Magnoliopsida; Arecales; Arecaceae
Description: long non-coding RNA (EGUI_LNC082363)
Source: RNAcentral
UAAGUGUCUCUGACUGUUCCAUGUGCAUUGACAGCUGGCUCCUCAGGUGCAGGAUCCAUUAUCAUAUAUAAGAUCCGUUCAUACUCCAGGACUAUCUUCAACUUUCGGUACUAGCUACUGAAGUUGGGUCCCACCAACUUAUCAUUGUCCAACAAUGAUCAGAGCAAUAGGGAAGUGGCCAUAUUUGCACAAAGGAGAACCAUAACCUAAUUAGUAAUUGAUUCAUUAAACC